GUAAAUCUGUUCUUGAUAUCAGCUUCCCUGCGACCAAGCCUUGGAGUGUCCACAGUCAGAGCAAUGGCUUUGAAACCAGCCUUUUCAGCUCUUCUCACAAGUUGUGCCACAACAUUCCUAUCCUUGUACACAUAUAGCUGGAAGAACCGAAUGCCAGGUCCAGUGGAAGCAACUUCUUCCACACUGGAAGUAGCCCAUGAGGAAAGAGUCAUAAUUGUGCCUGCUGCAGACGCUGCUCUGGCUGUUGCAUACUCCCCUUCAGGGUGAGCCAUCUUUUGCAUGGCAGUUGGAGCAAUCAUAAUGGGCAUUGAAAUUUUGAAACCCAACACAGUUGUUGACAUGUCUAUCUUACUCACAUCAAUAAGAAUACGGGGACGGAACAAAAUCCUGGAAAAUGCAUUUCGAUUCUCCUUCAGGGUCCACUGGUCCUCUGCACCAGAUGCAUAGUAGUCAUAAACCAUCUUUGGCAACUUUUUCUUGGCGAUCUCCUGAUACUCCGUAACAUUGGUUACUUCCUCCAUCUUUAGCAGUAUUUCACGCUCCCCUUCCAAACUUCCUUGGACUCCCAAGCUGUGUUGAGA
RNAcentral lists this unclassified non-coding RNA (581 nucleotides) under Hevea brasiliensis (rubber tree). The record is from RNAcentral. Lineage: Eukaryota; Viridiplantae; Streptophyta; Magnoliopsida; Malpighiales; Euphorbiaceae.